RNAcentral lists this ribosomal RNA (1018 nucleotides) under agricultural soil bacterium SC-I-38. RNAcentral's name for it is "bacterial SSU rRNA". It matches the Rfam family "Bacterial small subunit ribosomal RNA", at positions 9 to 1034 of the family's 1533-position model. The record is from RNAcentral.
GAGUUUGAUCCUGGCUCAGGAUGAACGCUAGCGGCAGGCUUAACACAUGCAAGUCGAGGGGUAUUAGGAGCUUGCUCCUAAGAGACCGGCGCACGGGUGCGUAACGCGUAUGCAAUCUACCUUUUACAGAGGGAUAGCCCAGAGAAAUUUGGAUUAAUACCUCAUAGUAUAAUGACUCGGCAUCGAGAUAUUAUUAAAGUCACAACGGUAAAAGAUGAGCAUGCGUCCCAUUAGCUAGUUGGUGUGGUAACGGCACACCAAGGCAACGAUGGGUAGGGGUCCUGAGAGGGAGAUCCCCCACACUGGUACUGAGACACGGACCAGACUCCUACGGGAGGCAGCAGUGAGGAAUAUUGGUCAAUGGGCGCAAGCCUGAACCAGCCAUGCCGCGUGCAGGAUGACGGUCCUAUGGAUUGUAAACUGCUUUUGUACAGGAAGAAACACUCCCUCGUGAGGGAGCUUGACGGUACUGUAAGAAUAAGGAUCGGCUAACUCCGUGCCAGCAGCCGCGGUAAUGCGGAGGAUCCAAGCGUUAUCCGGAAUCAUUGGGUUUAAAGGGUCCGUAGGCGGGUUAAUAAGUCAGUGGUGAAAGCCCAUCGCUCAACGAUGGAACGGCCAUUGAUACUGUUAGUCUUGAAUUAUUAGGAAGUAACUAGAAUAUGUAGUGUAGCGGUGAAAUGCUUAGAGAUUACAUGGAAUACCAAUUGCGAAGGCAGGUUACUACUAAUGGAUUGACGCUGAUGGACGAAAGCGUGGGUAGCGAACAGGAUUAGAUACCCUGGUAGUCCACGCCGUAAACGAUGGAUACUAGCUGUUCGGAGCAAUCUGAGUGGCUAAGCGAAAGUGAUAAGUAUCCCACCUGGGGAGUACGUUCGCAAGAAUGAAACUCAAAGGAAUUGACGGGGGCCCGCACAAGCGGUGGAGCAUGUGGUUUAAUUCGAUGAUACGCGAGGAACCUUACCAAGGCUUGAAUGUAGAUUGACAGGACUGGAAACAGUUUUUUCUUCGGACAAUUUAC